GACGAACGCUGGCGGCGUGCUUAACACAUGCAAGUCGAACGGAAAGGCCCUGCUUUUGUGGGGUGCUCGAGUGGCGAACGGGUGAGUAACACGUGAGUAACCUGCCCUUGACUUUGGGAUAACUUCAGGAAACUGGGGCUAAUACCGGAUAGGAGCUCCUGCUGCAUGGUGGGGGUUGGAAAGUUUCGGCGGUUGGGGAUGGACUCGCGGCUUAUCAGCUUGUUGGUGGGGUAGUGGCUUACCAAGGCUUUGACGGGUAGCCGGCCUGAGAGGGUGACCGGCCACAUUGGGUCUGAGAUACGGCAGAGACUCCUACGGGAGGCAGCAGUGGGGAAGAUUGCACCAUGGGCGGAAGCCUGAUGCAGCAACGCCGCGUGCGGGAUGACGGCCUUCGGGUUGUAAACCGCUUUCGCUUGUGACGAAGCGUGAGUGACGGUAAUGGGUAAAGAAGCACCGGCUAACUACGUG
This 468-nucleotide ribosomal RNA is filed under the name uncultured bacterium. RNAcentral's name for it is "partial 16S ribosomal RNA". It matches the Rfam family "Bacterial small subunit ribosomal RNA", at positions 28 to 507 of the family's 1533-position model. The record is from RNAcentral.